This is a long non-coding RNA of Cyprinus carpio carpio, 1679 nucleotides long. The record is from Ensembl. Lineage: Eukaryota; Metazoa; Chordata; Actinopteri; Cypriniformes; Cyprinidae.
CCAAAGUGUGGUUAACUUUUCAACACUCUUGUCCUAAAGUAAGCAUGUUUAUAUUUAGCUACAAUUUGAAGGUAACUCCAUCGCCCCCUUGAGUACUGAGGUUUGUAACUGCACACUUGCGAUUUGCACUUGCCGUUUAUAGCCAUAGUUUCUAGUCCUUUUUUUGUAUAUCUCCACCAUGAUCUCAGCACAGGAAGAAAAGCUUUCCCUGUAAUUCUCUUUGUCUUUGUCCUGAUCUUUCACUCCUUCCUCUGUGAUGAAGUUCUUUGAUCUGCUCUAAGUAGGUGGAUCUCAUAGAUCAUCCUGGAAUGUGAUUGUAGGUUUUAUAAAGCCUGAGUCUGCCAGCCACGUUCAUGACUGCUACAGCCGCAGCUGCCCCGCAGGGUCUGGCAUCUGUAACAGUAACAGCCUGGCGGAAGGCCAAACUGCAAAGAAGCACAAACCCAAACUCAUCAAGAAGCACUUAUCCAGGCCAUGGGAAAACUCAAAACUCACCAGACCCCCUGAAAACAGCAGGUCCACUGGAGCCUUUCACUUUCUAAACAACAAGAAACAACAGCUAUCCUUUACAAAGCCAUAAAUCAGCAGAAAGCGGUGCAGACCCUCACAGCAGCUGUCUAAUUUCAGAAGUGAACGCAAACCCCCGAGUUCAAAGACCGACAGGAGAAGCCGAGCGAGCGGUGUUCACUACAGUUUAGAUGCAGAACUUUCAUUUAUCCAGCUGUGAUGUAUUACUCUGCACUGCGGUUUACUUGAGAAUAUUUUCCACCUUCAGAGUUCAUGACUGCACUUCACUGGUACUAUUGCUCACACUUACGGUUAGUGAUGUGAUCGAACGCUAAUGUAACUCAUAACAUACUGUUUCACAUGUCUUGUCUGGGAACAGUGACUUUUGUAAACAAAACAAAGAUUACUGGACCAUGUUUUACAAGAAAAUACUAUUUCAGUCUAUCUACCUCAAAAUGAAACACAAUGCAUCAUCAUUCUGGGUUCAGGACAGGAGAUAUCAUGCCCUCUAGUGGUGCUUAGGGCAACGUCUAUUUACAGGUAAACUAAACUUCAUAGAAUCUCCACAGCCACAUUAAGAACAAUAUCUCAAACUACUGUAUAUCUGAGAAUAAGUAUUUUAGUAGCUUUAUAUGCCUUAAGGGUUUUCAACAAAUAAUAAUUCAACAAUUAAAACUGAAGACCAAUUCUCACUAUUAACUAUGACUUUUGCCCCAAAAAACUCCUAAUUUGCUGCUUAUUAAUAGUUAGAAAGGUAGUUGUUAAAUUUAGGAAUGGGGUAAGAUUAAGGGAUCUAAAAGAUAGUCAUGCAGAAUAAAGUAUUAACAUGUGCUUAGUAUAUAAGCACGCUAAUAAGCAUGUUAAUAAUGAAAGAGAGAAUUGGUCCCUAAACUAAAGUGACAAUUCUUCUGAAUAUUUAAAUUUUAUAAAUACAGAUUGUGUUGACUUUAACAAAUUUUAUUUAUUAUUUUGAAAAUUUAAGAGCCACGCAUCAAAAAUAAUCAGUUCAAAAUCAGUCAUUUGAGGGCAAUUUUAAGCAUUGGAAUUAUAUUAAUAAUUCAUAUAUAAUGGAUCUAUAUUAUAUUUUAAAUAAAGCAUUAAUGGACAUGGAAAUUGCAGAAUGAAUCUGAUACAUAAAAUAAAUGUUUAUAUUUACAAAUGUUCAAGUUACC